Pogona vitticeps (central bearded dragon) is the source of this 129-nucleotide non-coding RNA. NCBI's taxonomy places the organism in Eukaryota, Metazoa, Chordata, Lepidosauria, Squamata, Agamidae. The record is from RefSeq and is a predicted model, not a curated record.
AUUUCCUGGUCAAGCUGACCGAAGAGUUAUAGACCACAAAGUAUCUCUUCCAUGCUUUGGAAACUCAACAAAAAGCUCCAGAAAGGACAGCUUUGUUUAAAGAACUGGUCAAAACAGAACAGGCUUUUU